This 85-nucleotide transfer RNA is filed under the name Felis catus (domestic cat). It matches the Rfam family "tRNA". From Rfam's summary of the family: Transfer RNA (tRNA) molecules are approximately 80 nucleotides in length. The record is from Rfam by way of RNAcentral. Lineage: Eukaryota; Metazoa; Chordata; Mammalia; Carnivora; Felidae.
GCCUGGGUGGCUCAGUCGGUUAAGCGUCCGACUUCAACUCAGGUCAUGAUCUCACAGUUUGUGGGUUCAAGCCCCACAUCAGGCU